UGGACUCUGCUGUUUGGAGCAGGUCAC
This 27-nucleotide non-coding RNA is filed under the name Mus musculus (house mouse). Lineage: Eukaryota; Metazoa; Chordata; Mammalia; Rodentia; Muridae. The record is from RNAcentral.